GGGUCCGUAGCUCAGGGGGUAGAGCAGCCGGCUCAUAACCGGUUGGUCGCAGGUUCAAACCCUGCCGGGCCCA
This 73-nucleotide transfer RNA is filed under the name Candidatus Bipolaricaulota bacterium. Its description in RNAcentral is "tRNA-Ile". It matches the Rfam family "tRNA". Rfam says of the family: Transfer RNA (tRNA) molecules are approximately 80 nucleotides in length. Their secondary structure includes four short double-helical elements and three loops (D, anti-codon, and T loops). Further hydrogen bonds mediate the characteristic L-shaped molecular structure. tRNAs have two regions of fundamental functional importance: the anti-codon, which is responsible for specific mRNA codon recognition, and the 3' end, to which the tRNAs corresponding amino acid is attached (by aminoacyl-tRNA synthetases). tRNAs cope with the degeneracy of the genetic code in two manners: having more than one tRNA (with a specific anti-codon) for a particular amino acid; and 'wobble' base-pairing, i.e. permitting non-standard base-pairing at the 3rd anti-codon position. Lineage: Bacteria; Candidatus Bipolaricaulota. The record is from RNAcentral.